Molecule: transfer RNA, 68 nt
Filed under: Synapturanus sp. MZUSP 159215
Lineage: Eukaryota; Metazoa; Chordata; Amphibia; Anura; Microhylidae
Description: tRNA-Asp
Source: RNAcentral
AAGAUGCUAGUUAAAUGAUAACAAUGCUUUGUCAAAGCCAAAUUACAGACCCACCCCUGUGUAUCUUC